RNAcentral lists this ribosomal RNA (388 nucleotides) under uncultured bacterium. RNAcentral describes it as "bacterial SSU rRNA". It matches the Rfam family "Bacterial small subunit ribosomal RNA", at positions 28 to 417 of the family's 1533-position model. The record is from RNAcentral.
GACGAACGCUGGCGGCGUGCUUAACACAUGCAAGUCGAGCGGUAAGGCCCUUUCGGGGGUACACGAGCGGCGAACGGGUGAGUAACACGUGGGUGACCUGCCCUCAGCCCUGGGAUAAGCCUGGGAAACCGGGUCUAAUACUGGAUAUGACUCCAUGACGCAUGUUGUGGGGUGGAAAGCCUUGUGCGGCUGAGGAUGGGCCCGCGGCCUAUCAGCUUGUUGGUGGGGUGANGGCCUACCAAGGCGACGACGGGUAGCCGGCCUGAGAGGGCGACCGGCCACACUGGGACUGAGACACGGCCCAGACUCCUACGGGAGGCAGCAGUGGGGAAUCUUGCGCAAUGGGCGAAGGCCUGACGCAGCGACGCCGCGUGAGGGAUGACGGCCU